GAUGAACGCUAGCGGGAGGCCUAACACAUGCAAGCCGAGCGGUAUUUGUUCUUCGGAACAGAGAGAGCGGCGCACGGGUGCGGAACACGUGUGCAACCUGCCUUUAUCUGGGGGAUAGCCUUUCGAAAGGAAGAUUAAUACCCCAUAAUAUAUUGAGUGGCAUCAUUUGAUAUUGAAAACUCCGGUGGAUAGAGAUGGGCACGCGCAAGAUUAGAUAGUUGGUGAGGUAACGGCUCACCAAGUCAAUGAUCUUUAGGGGGCCUGAGAGGGUGAUCCCCCACACCGGUACGGAGACACGGACCAGACUCCUACGGGAGGCAGCAGUGAGGAAUAUUGAACAAUGGGUUAGCGCCUGAUCCAGCCAUCCCGCGUGAAGGACGACGGCCCUAUGGGUUGUAAACUUCUUUUGGAUAGGGAUAAACCUACUCUCGUGAGAGUAGCUGAAGGUACUAUACGAAUAAGCACCGGCUAACUCCGUG
This 479-nucleotide ribosomal RNA is filed under the name uncultured bacterium. RNAcentral describes it as "partial 16S ribosomal RNA". It matches the Rfam family "Bacterial small subunit ribosomal RNA", at positions 28 to 507 of the family's 1533-position model. The record is from RNAcentral.